Molecule: RNA transcript, 2116 nt
Organism: Quercus lobata
Lineage: Eukaryota; Viridiplantae; Streptophyta; Magnoliopsida; Fagales; Fagaceae
Gene name: protein FIZZY-RELATED 3-like
Exons: 9
Source: RefSeq, a predicted model, not a curated record
GAAUGUUUAGUGAGCAAGUUGUACUGAUAUUGCCUAAUGAUAUUUUCAAUGGAAUUUAAGAAGCUUUAUUCUGUAAAUUAGUGUGUUCAUUAAGCUUUCUUGUGAUAUAUAUGCAUUUCGUGGUAUUGAACAGCAGAGCACAGAUGAACAUAAUAAAGUUGAAACAUGGGCCAAGUGCCUACACAACUGCAGGUUAGGUUCAAACAUGAGUUUGUACAGAUUAGGUUUUUCACUCUUUCAAGUGAAACUGUGAGAGUUUAUGAUUAUUUUCCGUCCUGAGUAUCCUUAACCAAAAUUAUUGACCACAAUUCAAAGUAGUCUUCAAGUAUUAAAGCUCCCCAAAAGCUUGGCAAUGCCAUACCAGUAGCCUAGUACUAGACUGCAAUAUAAUUUACAUGGAUUUGAGGUAGUUGCUGUAAUUUGAAAGAAAUCUUUAACAUAUAUACACACACAAGCACACAAUAUGAUACUAAUCUUUAGACUGAGAGCGGAAAUGAGGUGUAUUCGAGGUUGUUGAGAGCAGAACUUUUUGGAUCUGAUUUUGGGUCUUUUUCUAAGGCAGGUUCUGGUCACCUAUGAGUCCUAGCAAGAACAUGUUGAGGUUCAAGACUGAGAGCUUGGGGCCUAAUUCUCCUUACUCGCCUUAUGAUAUGAUAAUGGGUUUUCUUCACAGACUUCCACACCUCCCAAGCCACCUCGCAAGGUCCCCAAGACUCCCCAUAAGGUUCUAAUGCUCCAUCACUUCAAGAUGAUUUUUACUUGAACCUAGUGGAUUGGUCGUCGCAAAAUGUCCCUGCAGUUGGAUUGGGAACCUGUAUUUACCUAUGGAGUUCAUCAAACAGCAAAGUAACAUAGUUGUGUGAUUUGGGACCUAAUGAUGGGUGUGUGUUCUGUCCAAUGGACCCGAGAGGGUUCAUACAUUUCCAUUGAUACAAAUCUUGGUCAAGUUCAGGUCUUGGAUGGGACACAGUGCAAGAAAGUCCGAACCAUGGGUGGGCAUCAAACAAGAACAGGGGUUUAGGCAUGGAAUUCAUGCACAUUGGCCUCCCGGAAGCCAGGGAUUGCAACAUACUUCAACAUGAUCUUCGGGUUCAAAAUGACUUUGUUAGCAAGCUAAUUGGCCACAAGUCUGAGAGAAGUUAUAGGGAAAAUGGCAGUAAUCUUAACCUUUCCUUAGCUUCAAUGCCACAGGUAUGUGGGCUAAAAUGGUCCCAUGAUGACAGGGAACUUGCAUCUUGUGGCAAUGAUAAUCAGCUAUUGGUCUGGAACCAGCAUUCUCAGCAACCAGCUUUGAGACUAACAGAGCACACAGCUGCUGCCAAGACCAUUGCUUGGUCACCCCACCAAAGUAGCCUUCUUGCAUCUGGCGGUGGAACAGCUGAUAGAUGUAUUCGCUUCUGGAACACCACAAACUGCCACCAACUGAACAGCAUUGACACGGGGAGCCAGGUUUGCAAUCUUGCAUGGAGUAAAAAUGUGAAUGAAUUAGUAAGCACUCAUGGGUAUUCCCAGAAUCAAAUUAUGGUGUGGAAGUAUCCAUCAAUGACAAAGGUUGCAACUCUAACGGGACAUAGUAUGCGAGUGCUUUACAUUGCAAUAUCACCCGAUGGUCAGUUACUUCAUCAUUUCCUUUAAAGCAUUUUUCAUAGCAUGUGAACUUGAUUGGCAGCACAGGAGUAACACCAAACAUAGAUGCAAAUAUAUAUUAUAAUGCACAUACAAAUUUUUUAAUUUGAACUGAAUUGCCUCCUGCAGACUAUAGUUACUGGUGCAGGUGAUGAAACCCUCCGGUUUUGGAAUCCCUUCCCAUCCAUGAAAACACCAACACCAGUGAGAGAUACAGGUCUUUGGUCUCUUGGGCGAACCCAAAUUCGAUGAUAUUCUUUGCACACGUGAAUAUGUUUUGGCUAUGAAGAUGGAAAGUAAAGGGCUAGUUUAUACUGUAUAUGAAACUGUAAUUUAUUUGUAAUCAGCUGAGAUGUACUGAGAAAUUGGCAAUGAUGUAUUCUAUUUUUUUUCCCCCCUUCUGCUAUAUAUAGUUUUGAAUCUGUAAAGUGUUUCCUUGUUAUAAUACUCGGACAUCAAUAUAACACUAGAUAAUUUAUACUCUCUCUCU